CUUCUGCGGGCUAGCAGAGGGCUCACGCACACACACACCUCCACGAGCCCGUACCGGCAACCGGAGAAAACAACUUUAAGAGGCAGCGCAGAGCGGGGCUGGGCCAGGUCCCAACCGGGCAGGGAUUUUGGAAGGGCAGAACCACCAUGUACCCGUGUACGCUUCUGCAGAGGCACAAGCAGGUGAUAUACCUAUUUGCUAUGCCGGGGCACAUCACCGCCGUACGACACAGCGAAAUAGUUUCGUUGUGUACAGCACCACAUUUGUGCGUGUGUCUCUCUCUGUCUGUGUGUCUGUCUGUCUGUCUUCGAUCCCCGUCCCGUCGUUCUGUCUCUUUCCAUUCCAGCUCACCUACCGUCACGACCGCCCCCCCACCCCGGGCCCCCAGGCGGCCGCACUCCCGCCUCAACCUCCAGUCGUGGACUGCUCCUGGGCCUCCUGCUCAAGCUGGGCGUGUACCUGGGCCUCACUGCGGUGCUGGUGGGUGUGGAGCUGUCAGCCCUGGCACGUCACCUGAUAUACGGUGGGUCGGGGCCGGGGGGAUAAGCGGUGUGGUGUCGCGGGAGGGCGUCGGGCGCUUUACAUAAGAGUACAAAGUACAGGUCAUAAAAUGGCGCUUAGUAGUAUUAAAGUACAGGUUAUAAAAUGUUUACAGGAAUUGUAUAACGUUCAUUGACUAUACUGAUAUGCUCCUCCCCGUAGCUGAUUUAUUACGAAUAGCGUUUCCUUGUUUUCCGAGUCUCAGCGCAGCAAUUGGGAUUUUGAAAUUUUUAUGCUAGCCUCGCAGUACUGCAGGUAUCCCCUGAUCAGGCCCCCUUCCCCCGGGAGGUGAACCAUCCGCUUGUGGUACCGCAAAUCCCUGUGGUGGUAGGUAGAUAGGUACGGUAGGUAAGGUAGGUACGGCUAGCUAGGUAUGGAAUCUAGGCAGGUGGGUUGCUCUACGCUCGGAGCGUGUCACCCGGCCCACCCUGACCCCCUUUUCCCUCCCUCUCCCCCUCCCCUCCCCCCCCCGGGCCCAGCUGUCCACUUUUGGAUGUUUGUAAGCCUGUGCCUGGACGCCGCGAUGCCGCUAGGCAGCCAGCUCCUGCCGGGAAUACCGCUGCAGCCCGCCAUGGAUGCGCCGUACAUCGCCACCUCCGUACGGGAGUUCUGGGGCCGUCGCUACAACCAGAUCGUGUCGGCGACGCUGCUGGAGACCGUUUACAAGCCGAUUGUGGAGGGGCGGUGGGUGAGCAGGAAGGCGGCGGCGGUCGCUGCCGGUGCGGAGGUGGAUGAGGUGUCGUUGUCGCCGGGGGUGUCGACCGCGGCGGGCGCAGGUUGUGGGGGAAAUGUGGCGGUACGGGCGGGACCACCGCCGCUGCCGCAGACAGGGGCGGUAACAGCGGUGGAUUCUUCAUCUAAUGCCGGCAGCGGCAGCGGUGGUGGUGAUGGCGCCGGUGGUGGCGACGGCAGCGGCAGCGAGCCCCGGCGGCAUCGUACAUGGCUGGUCCUGUCGGGCUUGCUCACUUCCUUUCUGGUCAGCGGCGCCAUGCACGAGAUUUGCAUCUGGUGGGUGUUUUGUGUCCGUCUGUCUGUCUGUCCGUCUGUCCGUCCGUCCGUCUGUCUCGAUUGUAUAAGUACAACGGUUCAUCGUCCCGAAUGCAUCAGCCGAAGUUCCAUUGCUCGCAUACUUCUCACCCGCGUCCUGGGCCCCAGGUUUGCCUGUGGUGGCAGGCUGGAGGGCAGUUUCCGCAUGCUUGGUUUCUUCCUGCUCCAGCCGGUCAUUAUCUUGGCUCAGGACGGGGCGAGUACGGCAAUGGCCAAGUGGGUUCCGGAGCAGCUGUCCGGCAGUCUGGCCGCCAGGGCGCUGCAGACGGGCGUGACGCUGGCGCUGGUGCUGGGCAGCGCGGAGUGGUUCUGGGCCCCUGUGGAGUCUUGUGGUGCGGACAAGCGAGCCCUGGCAGAAGUGGAUAGCGCUAUGAGGUGGUUGCUGGCACGAACACGGUCGCCGGAACUUCUGGCGCGGUGAGCGGUGAAUGCUACUAGUAUUAUUGUUGCUACUCCUAUAGCUGUUGCUUUUCUCGCACGGUUACUGAUACUGUUAUUGAUGGUGAUAUUACGAGACAUGCGGAGAACGUGCGCCGUAACGUGUGGAAGGCCAAAAAAUAAUCCUUCAUAUGGCGCUUGGCGCUUACAUGUACCGACCGUUAAAAAGCGUCUUCCUUCAUGCUGUGUUAGUGCUCGGGAUGAUUUGGAGAAUGGUUUUUGUUGUUAUUGUUGUUGUUCUUAGAUACAAGAAGAAAAGUUCGGAUGGCAACGUAUGUGGACUUCGCUUGCUUUCGUAUUGUGGACGAGAGUGUGCUUGGUUGUACCCCCUAUACCGGUCAUAUAGUGCGCCAUGGUGGUGCGUGUUGCCCUGACGUCGCAGUGGCGACGCUUCGCAACGAGUUACCUUUUCGUUUGGUUUGUUGGUAUUUCCUUCUCAUGUACCUGGUUUCGUUGAUUUGGUCAUAGAUGAUAGCGUGUCGAUGGUUACGGUCCAACGGAGGUAAGCUACGGGCCGUAGGGUGAUGGCUCUUCGAUGUGAUUGCCCACCGCGCCAAUGUGCAGGAAGCUGAAGAACUGACCUUGAUUCCAUUUACAAUUUUCGAAGUUACCUUCAGGCUGUACCCAAUUCCGUUGUACGUCGCGCGGUUAGUGUCGUGAUAUGUGAAAUGACGAGGCAUGAUCCGGAGCACCUCUCUUUGCAUACUCUUGCAGUCAUAGGGAUUAGUAGCAUCUCACUGAUCUAGACGCCGGAAAGGUCGGAAAAUUUCCAGUUUUUAGCGGUUGUGUGCAAGAGCUGAGGUCCGAAACCGGUUGUAAACAUUACCUAGUAACAUACAAAAAUGAUCUACGACGUAAACUCCCACCUGUUCCGGUCAUUCCUGGCUGUCACCGGAGGCGCCAAUGCUGGCGCCGCCAAGUAAGUGCUCCUCCAAUCAAAGCUUUGUACUGAGGCGUAGUUGCCGUGUCAUUAUGUAUGCAAGUACGUUUAUGCCCUUGUAGUAAGUCCCUGCUUGCCUCGGCUCCCUGCUCUUAGCAAUUUUGCGCAUGGGGCUCGCUUGGUUUGCUUAGCUUCUUUACCGUUGCUUCGCAGGACGUCAAGCAGACGUGCACCAGGGGAAAAGGCUAAGGAGAAUAAACACGCGUUCGUGGAGUAAGCCUCCUCUAGACCAUCUGGAUAUUGUCUACAUCUGGACGUGUAUAUUUCGUCGGGCCUCCGUUUACAUGAUAGAAGGGACGAGGCGGAUGUUGUUUAACUACGUUUCCUAGAAUUUUCUGGAAAGUUUUGUGUCGGAAACAGCGCUUAUCGCACUGCCGUGGGAGCUUCGUGGUUUCUGGAGACGCUUGGCCAAGCAGCACUAUCCCGUAGGGAAGUUGCAAAGGUUGACAGACUAAUGUGGGGCCACUUCUCAAGUGUAACGAAGCUAGGUGCGAUGGCGUCUCGCGUCAAGUGCUGAACUGCGUCAAGGGAUCAUGCGUUAUGCUCGUUCUAAUGCAACAUGUUAGGUCGAAAUGGCUUAUUCAGCUUAUCUAUAAACAUAUGCAGCUUCCUGUGUAUUAUGCAUAAACCUCCUUACGGACUUGUUGACAGCACGCAUGAAUCGUAAUCGCCUACAAUUCAAGCAGCUCCCAAUAUAAACAAUUCUUAUCUUCUAUUGUCCAAAUGAGCCCACCCACAGGAUAUGGUGACCUACAACUCAGAUCUAAAGUCUAGCGACCUUGUUGGAAAAACGGGUCAAGAGCCUUGCUCCAGUAUCCACACCAUUUGUAAAUUUCCACACUCUUACUAGUCUAUCCAUCAAGUCCUUAGACCAACCAGUAGAACUUUUACAACCUUGACCCUACAACUGGAUGCUUUCGAGAACCCUCCAAACUGCGGCGCUCGCUGAGCGUAUCCUUAGCGGUCCGCUUACACAAUCGCUCUCUCGGUGGACGGAACGCGUCUACCAGGCAGACUGCCCAGCUCGCACCUGGCUUCCCCACAUCCCGGCUUCGCCGCACGGAGCGCUCCUGCAGUUCGGCACCGCUGCGGCAACGGCGGCCUCUCCCCCCACGGACGAUGCAUCCGGACUCGUGAUCCAUCCUUCGGCAGCGGCGGUACGUCUUUACGCUCCUGCCUUACCUCUUCCUCCCACCCAUACACACAAACCGAGACCCAAUGGCUGUGCCGCACUUUGCCGCUACCCUGCUCGUAUUGAUUGCGACUACGCGUGUGUUUAUGUGUGUGCAAGUAAUCCCCCCCCCUCUCCGGGGGGGGGGGGGAAAUUGUUGCUCCGGGGCCUAUCGCGUGCAACCCUCUCUUCUCCCCCUCCCGUGUACAUCUGCCGCAGCACUCUUUCCUUGGCAGCAGCAGCUUCACUUGCUCGCGGUUCGUCUUUUCCCCCCUCCCGCCUCGUUCCUAUCGGCACUCUCGUUCUCUCUCACACACACAUAUACACACACACGUACACAUACACAUACACACACACCUACCUCCCACUCCCUCCAGCGCCUGCGGGAGCUCCAGGCCGAGAACCCAGGCGGCAGCGGGCUGGCUCUACGGGUGGAGGUGGAGGGCGGAGGCUGCUCGGGGUUCCAGUACAAGUUCAAGUUGGAGGAGGCCACCAAGGAGGACGACAUGUGCGGGGGGUUGGGUGGGAACGGGGGCGGGGGCGGGGGGAAGUGAAGACGUGAUGUGAUGUGAUGAUCCCGGGGGGGGAGAGGACGGGGGAAAGGAGGGCACAAACCAGUCGCCGCCCGCAUCCCCCCACCCUCCCCUCCCCACCUCCCUACUGGACUUCAUCUCUUAUUCCCCACCACCACCCCAACAGGGUGCCGCAGGCACUCUUUCCUUGGAAGCAGCUUCAUUCGCUCGUGGUUUGUCUUUUCCCCCCAACAGGGUGUUCGAGUGCGAGGGCGGUCGGGUGGUGUGUGACGUCAUCUCCCUGGAGUUCCUCCGGGGGGCGGUCCUGGAGUUCGAGGACAGCAUCAUGAGAUCGGCGUUCACGGUAAGGGGGUGGAGGGCCUGGGGGCAGUAGAGUAGAGGAGGACGAGGAGGGGGAGGAGGAGGGUGUGGAGGGCCUGGAGGCAGUAGAGUAGAGGAGGACGAGGAGGGGGAGGAGGAGGGUGUGGAGGGCCUGGGGGCAGUGAGUAGAGGAGGACGAGGAGGGGGAGGAGGAGGGUGUGGAGGGCCUGGGGGCAGGUGCAGUGCCACUGGGGGGGGGGAAGGGCCCCGGCGCCGGUAAGGGGUGGGAGAGGCUGGUGAGGGGUUCACUUAGGGUUUUAGGAUUCCUGGUUCCUGCCGUUUGCCUGCCCGCCUAGCUACAUGUGCCUGUCUGUCUGUCUGUUUGUGUGUCUGUCUUCACAGAUUAGUAAGAACCCCAAUGCGGAGGCCUCCUGCGGCUGCGGGAGCUCCUUCGCUGCCAAGAUGAAGUGAUGGCGGUGGUCACCUUGCUGCUGCUGCUGCUGCCGUGGUUACUGCGGAUGCGGACAAUACUGUGUAACUAAUAUGUGCCCCAUUUGAUCUUUCUUAGGUUGUGAAGGUGCUGUGCAAGACCUUGCUGCUGUUGCUGGUGGUGGUGGCAGUUGUGGGGUUUGUUGCGUUACGUCGUUGUGAUGCGACCCCGGGUGGCGGGCUGGGAGGGAGAUAGGGGAGGGAGGGGGGGAGGGGAGGGACGGAUGGACGGAAGUCCAAAUGGUAGCUGCUGUGCUGAUGGAUCUGGGCUGCAGCCAGAUUCCACAGUGGCCUUGACGGCCCACGUGCGUUUGUGUGUGUGGGGGGGGGGAGGGGGCCGGGAUUGCAAUCUUGAAGAUUGGAGGCGGAGAAGGCGGGGGCUGCAGUGCAUGGUCAUGGCAUAUAAGCCGGAGAGGUGAAGCCGGAACGGGAGGUUGAGCUGUUGUACUGCUGUUGUUGGCAUUGUCCGUACACAGCGGAGGGUGCCCCCGCAGCGGGUUAGGGGGAUAGAGAUAUCGCCACCCGCCACCACUGCGCAGCUGUGCACCGCUUGGAAAGUGCGGUGGUAGCUCCCCCCCCCCCACACACACACACACAGAGCAGGAAGGGACUGAUGCCCCUCGCGCCCAUCUCCUCCCGUCACGGGGAAAGUGCUUUGGCGGUCGUUUCCGUUUGGGGUUUUACGGUUAGGUGCCCCUGACCAGUGUCAGGCCAGGAUCGACGUGUAACGGAAACGCGUACCUACGUACGUACAUACAUACAUACAUACAUACCACUGGGCUUUAGUGAGUCACAGGCAGGGCCAGACAGAGCGAACAUUGUUCGCGCGUGUGUAUAUGUAUGUGUGUAUGUAUGUUGGUACAGGGUGGUAUAGCUUCACCAGCGGCCCCCUUUCCCGAGGCAGUUCCCUGCUCUCCCCUGCGAAAGGGGCAUCCGAAUCCGUUCACCCCAUCCGACUUCAGAAUGUAUUCGUUGGGUUCAGCAACUCACAACCAGCAUCCAACCAAAUCUAGCGGAUCAACUGCGCCUCAACUUAGUUCCAGAUCAGCUCGCAAGUGGAUAUUAUCACGUCCUACACCGUCCAUAAGAUGGGGGGCCACCUCCCAUUUCACACACCCGAGCGGUCGGCAGGCGAAUUUGAACCCGGACACUCCGGGAGCAGAAGUCAGGCCUUAACCUCUGCCAGCCGCCUGCCUACGUGUGUAUGUAUGUAUGUUGUUACAGGGUGGUUAACUUCGCCAGCGGCCC
This 6706-nucleotide long non-coding RNA is filed under the name Volvox carteri. Its description in RNAcentral is "long non-coding RNA (VCAR_LNC003060)". The record is from RNAcentral. Lineage: Eukaryota; Viridiplantae; Chlorophyta; Chlorophyceae; Chlamydomonadales; Volvocaceae.